CCACACCUGCUGCAACAUAUGGAAGUUCCCGGGCCAUGAGUAGAAUCGCUUUGGCAAAGGGAGAGACAUUAUAAACCACCUAAGGAGGAAACAGUGACUUCCUCCUUGGCACCCGAACUGAAUUUAAUCUCUUUCAGGUUUAACAUCCUGUGGAUUACUACACAUCCUCUUAGAUUUUAUUUUACUUUUUCAUCUUCCUCAGUUACAUUAAAAAAAGAAAUCCCUUCCCCCCACUUUGUCUUAAUCACUCCUUCUUCAAGUCAAAAAGGACAACCGUGGACUUCCCUUGUGGCUCAGUGGUAACGAACCUGACUAGGAUCUAUGAGGAUGCAAGUUCGAUCUCUGACCUUGCUCAGUGGGUUAAGGAUCCAUGAGCUGCAGUAUAGGUUGCCGAUAUGGCUCAGAUCCUGUGGAGAAUAAUUUUUAAUGUUGGAGAGAUGAGUGAAUAUAUCUAAAAAUAUAUUUUAAAAAAGCCAAAACUAUAAAUCUUCUAUAUAAUACACAUUAUGGGAAAUAAAACUUAGCAAGGCUUUUGCUGCUGCAGAUAAGAAGACAGAAGGGAUUUCCAGAGAGACCCCAGGAAAGGGGAACAGCAGUAGAAGACAAUGUCUGGAGAUUAAAAUUUCGCUUUGUCAGAAGGGAAUAAGUGAACUUGAACCAAAGUCUCUCAAUGUGACUUGAUGUUUCCAUGGUGUAUGAAUCCAUUGAAAAAAAAAAGGACAGGACUUCCUGUUGUGGCGCCGUGGAAACAAAUCCGACCAGGAACCAUGAGGUUUUGGGUUUGAUUCCUUGCCUUGCUCAGGGGUUAAGGAUCUGGCAUUGCCAUGAGCUGUGGUGUAGGUUGCAGAUGUGGCUCGGAUCUGGUGUUGCUGUGCCUGUGGUGCAGGCCGGCAGCUAUAGCUCUGAUUCCCUGACCUGGGAACCUCCAUAUGCCACGGGUGCGGCUCUACAAAGACAAGACAGAAAAAAAAAAAGGACAGAUUUCAGUUUUUGACGUAAAUAGAAGCAGGCUGAACAGGACCAAGCAUGGGACAUGCCACCGUGGCAGCUUUGCCGCUUGGCAGCAGUCCCGGAUCUGGCGUAGGGCUGAGGUUUGUGUGGAGUCCAGGGCAGAGCAUCUGAAGGAUCAAAGAGUAUGGGCUGGAGCUCAGCAUGAGGUGAGUGGGUGGGCCUGACCAGGAUGCUCCCACAGGCAGGCAGAGCAUGACAUCAGGGACCCCAGUGGAGGCGGUCCUCAAAGCCAGCAGGAUUGGCAGCUGAUGGAGAAGGACAUCUGCAGGAAACUUGGGCUCAGAGAAGGGAACUGGUCAGAGCCAUGUGGGUCUCGUUUAUAGACCUUGAACUCUAGUCCCUCCCUUAGGUCUGUGUGGCUGCAGGACAGAACCUGUCAAGGCCACUUCAAAGGACCCAAACACUUCUAUUUAAGAGCUUCCUAGACUGGAGGUGGGGCUGGGCCUAUAGAUAAGGAUCAGAUGUCACUUGCUGGGAGAAAUAGCUGCCAAGGCUGAAAAACAACACAAUUCCUUCUAGAAUCUGCAGUUUCUACUCUUGUCUCAUCUUCCUAUUUUCUAGUCAUUUUUAGUUACUACCAGUACCCCAUAUUGCUUUACUUAGCAAAAAACAAACAAAGCCAAUAUAUGCUAUUAAAACUGCAUCCUGCAUCCACUAACCAUAUGAUUUGAAAUGUCCUGGGCAGCCCCAAGCCUCAAUUAAAUUUAUUGUUUUUGGUACAGAGAAGCCAUAAAACCAACUUGAUUUUUUAAAAUAAUUUUUAUGUCUUUUCGUAUAAAUUAACAAAUUUUGAAGACAAUCCUUUGCACAUUUUCCACUUCUGGUUUUGGAAAGCUCUCCCUGUUUUUUGGAGUCUUAAGAAAGAUCAUUGUCGUUGGGUUGAGAAAGUGGUCACAUGGGUGACAUUCUUUUUCUAAUGAAAAAUGCAUCCCGAAUUUGAGACGGCCACACUGGAAGUUCCUUCCAGGCAAGAUCUGUUUGGAAUACAUCAUAGUGCGAUACACAGAACCUUCUGUUAAAUGGUAUUUGAUCAAUGUCAAGUGUGGUUAAAGCAGGGGAGGCUCUUCAAGCAUUGCCUCCCCCACCCCCAGACUGGAGCCACUGAGCCACUGAGUAUGUUAUCCUUGAAACCAAAACAGGAUCAACAUUGCCCAAGGCAGGGCCACUGCCUUUGGGCAUUUGGCUUUUCAUAUGUGUUUAGUUUAAGUUCCCCUCUUCCUUUGAACAGCAUGCCCUGUUGCAAAAAGGGAGGCUCCCCCCCACACACACACAAAAAAAAAAGAUAAAAAGAGUUCCCGUCAUGGUGCAGUGGUUAACGAAUCCAACUAGAAACCAUGAGGUUUUGGGUUCGAUCCCUGGCCUUGCUCAGUGGGUUAAGGAUCUGGCGUUGCCGUGAGCUGUGGUGUAGGUUGCAGAUGCGGCUCAGAUCCUGCAUUGCUGUGGCUGUGGCAUAGGCUGGCAACUACAGUUCCAAUUCAACCCCUAGCCUGGGAACCUCCAUAUGCUGCGGGAGCAGCCCUAGAAAAGACAAAAUAAAUAAAUAAAUAAAAUAAGGGACUAUAAAAGCAUGACUAUGUUGGAGUUCUGUGGCGCAGUGGAUUAAGGCUCCAGCAUUGUCACUGCAGCAGCCUGGGUCGCUGCUGUUGUGUGGGUUCUAUGCCUGCCCUGGGAACUUCCACAUGUCAUGGGUACAGAGUAAAAUAAAAUAAAAUAAAAUGUAUGACCGUCAAUGUACCAUCCUCUCUUUCCCCUCAGCUCCUCACAACCUCCUCUCUGCCCAUAUUCUACGUAUAGUGAAUAUCAGAACCAUCUCCCUAGAUUUCUAAGUCAGAUGUCACAGAGUCACCCUGCUUUAAGGACACACUUGAACUUGUGUGGAAAACCAUGCCUUGUCUAGAGGACACACCUCUGAGUCUUCUGAGUCCAUGAGGACUAUUGCACAACCCAGUAAAUUGUGUAUAACCGCCUGAAUGCAAAAUAAUUCUUAGUUCCAGAUGUGCCAAUUCUGUCCUGUCUUGUGGAGGUUCAGAAUUCCCUCCCCCACUGUAGAAGAUGCCAGUUCUGCCUCCUUUUGCAGAUUCAUUUCAAUAUUCCUCCUCAAUAAAUGUGACUGUUUUUCAAUCUCUCCCUUGAACCAAUUAAAACAUCUGCCUGGUUCCUUUAUGAGUGAAAUAAAAUCUUUAACAUGUGUUCAUUUUAUAUUCUUAUGAGUCAUGCUUUUACCUUUUUUUUUUUUCCAAAAUUAUCCUUUAACAGUUUUUUUUUCUCACUCACCUCCUUCUCAUCCUUCACCUAGUUCACUCCAUUCUCUCUUUCUGAACGUCUCUCAAAUGUGUCUCUUUCCCUGAGACAGCUCCCCACCCCCCACAACUGCCUCAGUCCAGGUCACUGUCAUUUUGCACAGUGAUAACUGUAACAGCCUCCUAGUUGACACCUCUUCUUCAACCUUGUGUCCCCUAUGCCUCCCCUACGCUACAGCUCCUUAAACUAAAAUCAGAACCUUUCCUUUUCCUACGCAUAACUCUUCCUAUACAUCACCCUGGCCCAAUGGCUAUGCCAAGAAGUUGGGUCGUCAAGAGUCAUUGUGAGCUGACCCUACGCACAUUUCUUCCCCACCCCCCUACCUUCCUCUUCAACCUGAAGGUCAUUCACUAUUUCUUCUUAUACUUUUUAUACCUUGCUGACUUUUGGGCCUUGUCUUGUUUUGUUUGUUUGUUUAUUUGUUUUGCUUUUUAAGGCUGCACCUGAGGCAUAUGGAGGUUCCCAGGCUAGGGAUCAAAUCAGAGCUGUAGCUACCCACCUACGCCACAGCCUCAGCAAUGCAGGACCUGAGCCGCAUCUACGACCUACACCAAAGCUCACAGCAACACCAGAUCCUUAGCCCACUGAGCAAGGCCAAGGAUGGAACCCGAAACCUCAUGGUUCCUAGUUGGAUUCAUUUCCACUGUGCCAUGAUGGAAAUCCCUUGUGUUCUUUCUUCUGCCUGCCUCUCUUCCCCAUGCUUUCACUAGGCUAGCUCCUAGGUACAAUUUUAUCUCAGCUUAGAUGUGUAGGGGAGGAAAAAACCUUCUCCCGUCUACCCUCCUAGCUUUAAUGUCUAGGGCCUGGGAAUCAACUGAAAUAAGACAUAUUAAAGAAAAACAAAGUUCCCUGGUGUUAAAGUGGGUUAAAGAUCUGGCAUUGCCACUACUGUGGCUUGGGGUUUGAUCCUUGGCCAUGAAACUUCCACAUGCCACAGGUAUGGCUGAAAAAAAAAAGAAAAAGAAAAAAAAAUGGGGCUCAAGAAUUUGAAUUGAUGAUUGGAAUUUAUAUUUGAUGUUAAGCUAAACAAAGGGAAAGGGGCUUGGGGCUUCUGGGUUGGGGGCAGUGUUGGGUGAGAGGAAAGGAAAAAAUGCAUAAUAAAUUAGGAUCAUCUGGUUAUGCUCAUUAGAGUUGCCUCUCAUUAGAGUAGCUAACUCUCUUCCUGCUACAGAGACAUCUUUACAAAUGGAAGUUUACAUUAUAAACUUGUAUUUCCUUUUCAAAAGGGGAAAUCUAUACUUUAUAUUCAGGCAGUUGGAGGAAGUAAAGAGCUUUUCCUACAUCUGUUGGUUCUCAGUUGACUUUAGCUCAAAAUAAUCCAUAUGCCAAAGGGGCAUAUUUUGGGGAGAUGUAUUCUGGUACAUUCAGAUGUCACUUUCUAUGGGAAAACUUGUCCAUUGUCCUGUUCUUUCUCUUCAGUGGGGCUAUACAUAUUAUCUCCCAGAAUACUAAUCUCCAUGGCAACAUGAAUUGUCUUCUUAACUUCUGCAGCCACCAGUGCCUAGUUCAAUACCCCCAGUAACUAAGCAGUAGGAUUUAUGUGACUUGGGGCCUAGACACUUUGACUACAGCCCAGGAUCGCAGUGGUGACUUUUUACUAUGAGGAUUUUGCAGUAGUUUUAAAUUGUAGAGCUGGACAGCAUCUAGAGAUUGCUCUCCCCAAUCUCUUCCUUUAAAAAAAUUUUUUUUAUUAAAGUUUACAAUGCUGUGCCAAUUUCUGCUGUACAGCAAAGUGACUCAGUCAUACAUAUAUAUAUUCUUUUUAAAAAAUAUUAUUUUCCAUCAUGAUCUAUCCCAAGAGAUGCAAUCUCUUCUUUUAAAAAGUUACAGAUGGCCAACAAGUACAUGAAAAAAUGCUCAACAUCACUGCUUAUGAGAGAAAUGCAAGUCAAAACUUAUGAGGUGCUGGAGAGGCUGUGAGAAAAGGGAACCCUCCUGCACUGUUGGUGGGAAUAUAAAUUGGUACAACCACUAUGGAAAACAGUACAGAGGUACCUUAGAAAACUAUACUUAGAACUACCAUAUGAUCCAUGAAUCCCACUCUUGGGU
Molecule: long non-coding RNA, 5361 nt
Filed under: Sus scrofa (pig)
Lineage: Eukaryota; Metazoa; Chordata; Mammalia; Artiodactyla; Suidae
Description: lncRNA (ENSSSCG00015050690.1)
Source: RNAcentral